Capra hircus (goat) is the source of this 3225-nucleotide RNA transcript. It is a transcript of the gene named Rho GTPase activating protein 10, with no coding region annotated. The record is from RefSeq and is a predicted model, not a curated record. The transcript has 25 exons. NCBI's taxonomy places the organism in Eukaryota, Metazoa, Chordata, Mammalia, Artiodactyla, Bovidae.
AUGGGGCUGCAGCCCCUGGAGUUCAGCGACUGCUACCUCGACAGCCCGUGGUUCCGGGAGAGGAUCCGUGCCCACGAAGCGGAGCUGGAGAGGACCAACAAGUUCAUCAAAGAGCUCAUCAAGGACGGCAAGAACCUCAUCGCCGCGACCAAAAGUCUCUCGGCAGCCCAGCGGAAGUUCGCACACUCCCUCAGAGACUUCAAAUUUGAGUUUAUCGGAGAUGCAGAGACUGACGAUGAACGCUGCAUAGAUGCUUCCUUGCGUGAAUUUUCUAAUUUUUUGAAGAAUCUGGAAGAGCAGAGGGAGAUCAUGGCAUUAAGUGUCACCGAAACCCUGAUUAAACCCUUGGAAAAAUUCAGAAAAGAGCAACUCGGAGCUGUCAAGGAAGAAAAAAAGAAAUUUGACAAAGAGACUGAAAGGAACUACAGCCUAAUUGAUAAACAUUUGAAUUUGUCAGCAAAAAAGAAAGACUCACAUUUACAAGAGGCAGAUAUCCAAGUGGAACAGAAUCGGCAACACUUUUAUGAACUGUCUCUUGAAUAUGUGUGUAAGCUUCAGGAAACCCAAGAAAGGAAGAAGUUUGAGUUUGUGGAACCCAUGCUGUCGUUUUUUCAGGGAAUGUUUACUUUCUAUCAUCAGGGCCAUGAACUUGCCAAAGACUUCAAUCACUACAAAAUGGAACUACAGAUCAACAUUCAGAAUACACGGAAUCGUUUUGAAGGAACAAGGUCAGAAGUGGAAGAACUUAUGAACAAGAUCAGACAGAAUCCCAAGGACCACAAACGAGCAAGUCAGUUUACAGCGGAAGGCUACCUGUAUGUACAGGAGAAAAGGCCUCCUCCAUUCGGUUCCAGCUGGGUCAAACACUACUGCAUGUAUCGGAAGGCAGCCAAGAAGUUCACUAUGAUCCCGUUUGAGCACAGAUCCGGGGGGAAGCUUGGGGAUGGAGAGGUCUUCUUUUUGAAAGAAUGUAUCAGGAGACAUACUGACUCCAUCGACAGAAGGUUUUGCUUUGACGUGGAAGCUGCUGACCGGCCUGGUGUUUCCUUGACCAUGCAGGCGUUUUCGGAAGAAGAGAGGAAGCAGUGGCUGGAAGUUCUGGGUGGAAAAGAAGCUCUGUUCCCUAGUUUUAAUAGAGCCAUCAUCCCAAGACCAGAAGGAAGUGCACAGUUGGAUAAGAUGGGAUUCACAAUUCUUAGAAAAUGCAUCCAUGCAGUUGAAACACGAGGUAUAAAUGACCAAGGAUUGUAUAGAGUUGUGGGGGUGAGUUCAAAGGUCCAGAGACUUCUGAGUAUGUUGAUGGAUGUGAAGACCUGCAACGAGGUGGACCUGGACAAUUCCAUAGAUUGGGAAGUGAAGACAAUAACAAGUGCCUUGAAACAGUAUUUGAGGAGUCUUCCAGAGCCGCUGAUGACCUAUGAGUUACAUGGAGAUUUCAUUGUUCCAGCCAAGAGCGGCAGCCCGGAAUCUCGUGUUAAUGCCAUCCAUUUCUUGGUACACAAACUGCCAGAAAAAAAUAAAGAAAUGUUGGAUAUUUUGGUGAAACACUUAACGAAUGUUUCAAAUCACUCCAAGCAGAAUCUCAUGACCGUGGCAAAUUUAGGAGUGGUGUUUGGACCAACUCUCAUGAGGCCGCAGGAAGAGACUGUUGCUGCCCUCAUGGAUUUGAAGUUUCAGAACAUCGUUGUGGAAAUUUUAAUCGAAAACCAUGAAAAGAUUUUUAGGACCCCGCCUGAUGCCACAUUGCCUGAGCCAGGCCCCCUGUCAGCACCCCCAAAUGCUCCGCCAAGACAAUCGAAGAGGCAGGGCCAGAGGACUAAGAGACCCGUGGCCGUAUAUAAUCUCUGUCUUGAACUGGAAGAUGGUGACCGUCCCAAUCUUCCUAAGGAGGACACCCCUCCCAGCAGCCUGGACUCGCUUUCCUCUCCGUCUCCCAUGACUGCCGCUGCCCUUGGGCCCCCUGGACCAGACCGGAACCACCUGCUUACAGACGGGGGCAGCUCUGGGGACUGGGCAUCCACUGCCCCAAGCCAGGCCCGAUCAUCCACAGUCCAAUGGCUUAACCCUCAGUCUCCAACCACACCGAGCUGCAGCCCAGCUGUUACACCUCCUUCACCCAAGCUGUCACCGUUCCCCCUCUCUCUUCCUGCCACUGUCGUGGACAAGCCACCUGAAAGCGUCAUCAGUCGGAAGGCCCGGGCGGUGUACCCCUGUGAAGCAGAACACAGCUCGGAAUUGUCCUUCGAAAUUGGAGCGAUUUUUGAGGAUGUGCAAACCUCAAGGGAACCUGGCUGGCUGGAAGGGACUUUGAAUGGCAAGAGGGGGCUGAUUCCACAGAAUUACGUCAAGCUGCUGUAGCGCCUGGCCGCAGACCCUGGCCCCAGAGCACCUUCCUGGGAGCGGCGAGCGCCGUCCACCUCCUGGGCGGAACCCACGGCCACCUGGACACUCCAGGUUUGCAGCCAUGAAAUGGAGAGAGUGGUACCAGCCUCCCUGGAGGACUGUGACAAACGAUGAUGUGAAGCGUCUGGAGGGCACCCAGCAAGAAACGGGGUUUAGUAAAUGCGGAAGAUGGAAGAAGGCAACCACAGAGUCUGUAUUGCUGAAUGAAGUCCAGAGGAGCAGCCUGUAAGGAAUGUGAGGAGCAUUAUGACUGAUGGCUGAUGGAGUUUCUUGAAGCCCAAGAGGACCUGGGGUGAGAAUAAGACUCCACUGUGUGGAAGAGGACCUGGGAAUGAGACGGGGCAUCUGGUGUACUCAGGUGAGUCUGUAAACAAGCUUCCAUGUGGUUGUGAAGAUAAAUGAGGCCAUGUACAUAUCGAAUUUAGUGGCUACAUCAGCAGUAAUUAUUGUUAUAAAAUUGUCAUGGGGUAUAUUUCCGUGAACCAAAUAUUAGCACUAAGAAACAAAACAUUUCACCAGUCCCCCAAAAGAGUAAUUAAUAUGUGGAUAACACAGGGCUUCCUAACAUGGGUAGGGCGUGGGCAUAGUGAUUCCAUCUUGGAUGUAGGCAGAGGGGCAUAUGAUCCAUAUUUAAAAGGCCACAAAAUCCAUGUAUUCCUAUAGACGUGCAAAUGAACUGUUUCCAAAACAACAGGUGAUUAAAGUAAAGGAUUUAUUGUAAUCUGCUUACAGUCCUUUGCAAAGACAGACAUAUGUUUUUGCAUAAAGAUAUAAAUUGCUUCAUUUUAAACUAAUUUAGUGUGGUUUUUUUUUUAAUUAUAU